CAAUAGCGUAUAUUUAAGUUGUUGCAGUUAAAAAGCUCGUAGUUGGAUUUCGGUUAAGAGCGACCGGUCCGCCGUUUGGUGUGCACUGGUUGGUUUUAACUUCCUGUAGAGGACGUGCUCUGGGUUUAACGACCUGGACUCGGAGUCUACGUGGUUACUUUGAAAAAAUUAGAGUGUUCAAAGCGGGCUUACGCUUGAAUAUUUCAGCAUGGAAUAACACUAUAGGACUCCUGUCCUAUUUCGUUGGUCUCGGGACGGGAGCAAUGAUUAAGAGGAACAGUUGGGGGCAUUCGUAUUUCAUUGUCAGAGGUGAAAUUCUUGGAUUUAUGAAAGACGAACUUCUGCGAAAGCAUUUGCCAAGGAUGUUUNCAUUAA
RNAcentral lists this ribosomal RNA (375 nucleotides) under uncultured eukaryote. Its description in RNAcentral is "partial 18S ribosomal RNA". It matches the Rfam family "Eukaryotic small subunit ribosomal RNA", at positions 592 to 976 of the family's 1831-position model. The record is from RNAcentral.